CGGACGGGUGAGUAAUGUCUGGGAAACUGCCUGAUGAGGGGGAUAACUACUGGAAACGAUAGCUAAUACCGCAUAACGUCGCAAGACCAAAGAGGGGGACCUUCGGGCCUCUUGCCAUCGGAUGUGCCCAGAUGGGAUUAGCUAGUAGGUGGGGUAAAGGCUCACCUAGGCGACGAUCCCUAGCUGGUCUGAGAGGAUGACCAGCCACACUGGAACUGAGACACGGUCCAG
RNAcentral lists this ribosomal RNA (231 nucleotides) under uncultured bacterium. RNAcentral describes it as "partial 16S ribosomal RNA". It matches the Rfam family "Bacterial small subunit ribosomal RNA", at positions 99 to 334 of the family's 1533-position model. The record is from RNAcentral.